UACGAAGGGUGCAAGCGUUGUUCGGAAUUACUGGGCGUAAAGCGCGCGUAGGCGGCUUGAUAAGUUGGGAGUGAAAUCCCGGGGCUUAACUCCGGAAUUGCUUUCAAAACUAUUAAGCUAGAGUAUGGCAGGGGACAGUGGAAUUCCUAGUGUAGAGGUGAAAUUCGUAGAUAUUAGGAGGAACACCAGUGGCGAAAGCGACUGUCUGGACCAUUACUGACGCUGAGGUGCGAAAGCGUGGGGAGCAAACAGG
This 253-nucleotide ribosomal RNA is filed under the name uncultured bacterium. Its description in RNAcentral is "partial 16S ribosomal RNA". It matches the Rfam family "Bacterial small subunit ribosomal RNA", at positions 524 to 776 of the family's 1533-position model. The record is from RNAcentral.